ACGCUGGCGGCAGGCCUACACAUGCAAUUCGAGCGGAAACGAGUUAUCUGAACCUUCGGGGAACGAUAACGGCGUCGAGCGGCGGACGGGUGAGUAAUGCCUAGGAAAUUGCCCUGAUGUGGGGGAUAACCAUUGGAAACGAUGGCUAAUACCGCAUGAUGCCUACGGGCCAAAGAGGGGGACCUUCGGGCCUCUCGCGUCAGGAUAUGCCUAGGUGGGAUUAGCUAGUUGGUGAGGUAAGGGCUCACCAAGGCGACGAUCCCUAGCUGGUCUGAGAGGAUGAUCAGCCACACUGGAACUGAGACACGGUCCAGACUCCUACGGGAGGCAGCAGUGGGGAAUAUUGCACAAUGGGCGCAAGCCUGAUGCAGCCAUGCCGCGUGUGUGAAGAAGGCCUUCGGGUUGUAAAGCACUUUCAGUCGUGAGGAAGGUGGUGUAGUUAAUAGCUGCAUUAUUUGACGUUAGCGACAGAAGAAGCACCGGCUAACUCCGUGCCAGCAGCCGCGGUAAUACGGAGGGUGCGAGCGUUAAUCGGAAUUACUGGGCGUAAAGCGCAUGCAGGUGGUUUGUUAAGUCAGAUGUGAAAGCCCGGGGCUCAACCUCGGAAUAGCAUUUGAAACUGGCAGACUAGAGUACUGUAGAGGGGGGUAGAAUUUCAGGUGUAGCGGUGAAAUGCGUAGAGAUCUGAAGGAAUACCCGGUGGCGAAGGCGGCCCCCUGGACAGAUACUGACACUCAGAUGCGAAAGCGUGGGGAGCAAACAGGAUUAGAUACCCUGGUAGUCCACGCCGUAAACGAUGUCUACUUGGAGGUUGUGGCCUUGAGCCGUGGCUUUCGGAGCUAACGCGUUAAGUAGACCGCCUGGGGAGUACGGUCGCAAGAUUAAAACUCAAAUGAAUUGACGGGGGCCCGCACAAGCGGUGGAGCAUGUGGUUUAAUUCGAUGCAACGCGAAGAACCUUACCUACUCUUGACAUCCAGAGAACUUUCCAGAGAUGGAUUGGUGCCUUCGGGAACUCUGAGACAGGUGCUGCAUGGCUGUCGUCAGCUCGUGUUGUGAAAUGUUGGGUUAAGUCCCGCAACGAGCGCAACCCUUAUCCUUGUUUGCCAGCGAGUAAUGUCGGGAACUCCAGGGAGACUGCCGGUGAUAAACCGGAGGAAGGUGGGGACGACGUCAAGUCAUCAUGGCCCUUACGAGUAGGGCUACACACGUGCUACAAUGGCGCAUACAGAGGGCGGCCAACUUGCGAAAGUGAGCGAAUCCCAAAAAGUGCGUCGUAGUCCGGAUUGGAGUCUGCAACUCGACUCCAUGAAGUCGGAAUCGCUAGUAAUCGUGGAUCAGAAUGCCACGGUGAAUACGUUCCCGGGCCUUGUACACACCGCCCGUCACACCAUGGGAGUGGGCUGCAAAAGAAGUAGGUAGUUUAACCUUCGGGGGGACGCUUACCAC
This 1448-nucleotide ribosomal RNA is filed under the name Vibrio sp. CL1005. RNAcentral's name for it is "16S ribosomal RNA". It matches the Rfam family "Bacterial small subunit ribosomal RNA". Lineage: Bacteria; Pseudomonadati; Pseudomonadota; Gammaproteobacteria; Vibrionales; Vibrionaceae. The record is from RNAcentral.